This 4902-nucleotide unclassified non-coding RNA is filed under the name Diabrotica virgifera virgifera (western corn rootworm). Its description in RNAcentral is "gastrula zinc finger protein XlCGF57.1-like". The stretch from base 3059 to 3130 matches the Rfam family "tRNA". The record is from RNAcentral. Lineage: Eukaryota; Metazoa; Arthropoda; Insecta; Coleoptera; Chrysomelidae.
UCAGAAAUCAAUAAUAACCACAGAUUUUACUGGUUUCAUUUUCACUUUUUUUUUUAUGUAAAAUUAUUAUUGGUGUAUUUAUAAUACAUAAAAGCAAGUUUAAUUAAAUGGAGGUCAAACAAGAAAUUAACGAGGAAACCUGUAAAACAGAAAGAGAGUAUAAUGGCUUGGAUGAUGCUCUUUUAUAUGCCUUUGAAUCUGAACUUCAAGAGGAGUCUAAUAAGAAAAGUACUCAUGGCACAUAUGAUCCUUUAGACUUGCAGAAAUGCCCCAUAAAUACUGAAAUAGAACAACAUAGAGAUCCAUUUGAAGAAAUCCAAGAAACUGAAAAAGUUUAUCUGCCAGAUGGAAUCAAAGUCGAAAUCCUGGAGAAACCCAUUGAAGCUUCAUCUUACGAAGGAAAUGGUAUUAGUCGACACACUGAAACAACAACAUUAACUAAAAAUAUAAAAAGUGUGAGUGGAAAAAGACCUUUUAAAUGUGACCUUUGUCUCAAGCAAUUUAGAUUAGCUAGUGGUUUGACAAGACAUUUGAGAGUGCAUACUGGUGAAAAACCUUACAUGUGUGAAGUUUGUUUUAAACAAUUCUCUCUUAAAGAUAAUUUGAAAGUACAUUUAAGGAUUCAUACUGGAGAAAAACCUUAUCAGUGUGAGAUUUGUUAUAAUCGGUUUGCUCAACUAAGUCAAUUGACUUAUCACAUGUCAGUUCACACUGGAGAAAAACGUCACAAGUGUGAGGUUUGUUUAAAGCAGUGCAUUAGUGCAAGUGAGUUGACGAUACAUUUGAGAGUGCACACUGGGGAAAGACCUUACACGUGUGACAUUUGUUUAAAACCGUGUAUUAGUGCAGGCGAUUUGACAAGACAUUUGAGAGUGCACACUGGGGAAAAACCUUACAUGUGUGAAGUUUGUUUCAAGCAGUUUAGUACUCAAGGUAAUUUGAAAGUACAUUUGAGGAUACACUCUGGAGAAAAGAAUUACAAGUGUGAGAUUUGUUGUAAGCAAUUUAGUGAAGCAGGUACUUUGAGAAAACAUAUGCGAGUGCACUCUGGGGAAAAACCUUACACGUGUGAAACUUGUUUUAAAGACUUUUCUUCAACAAGUAGUUUGAAAACACAUUUGAGAGUGCACACUGGAGAAACACCUUAUCAGUGUGAGACGUGUUUUAAGCAGUUUAUUACAGCAAGUCAUUUGAAAGUACAUAUGAAAAAGCAGGACGGAGAAACACCUUAUCAAUGCGAGAUUUGUUUUAUUCGGUUUUCUCAAAAAGUUCAAUUAAUCUCCCACAUGACAGUUCACAAUGAAGAAAACCCUCACAAGUGUGAAAUUUGUUUCAAACACUGUAUUAAUGCAAGUGAUUUGACAAAACAUUUGAAAGUGCACACUGGGGAAAAACCUUACACGUGUGAGACGUGUUUUAAGCAAUUUACUACUGCUGGUAAUUUGAAAAGUCAUUUGAGAGUGCACACUGGAGAAAAGCCUUACAAGUGCGAGGUUUGUUUUAACUGGUUUGCUCAAAAAGUUCAGUUAACUUCUCACAUGGCAGUUCACACUGGACAAAAACCUCACAAGUGUGAAAUUUGUUUUAAACAGUUUAAUAGAUCAAGUCAUUUGAAAGUACAUUUUAGCGUGCACACCGGGGAAAAACCCUACAAGUGCCAAACUUGUUUUAAGCAGUUUAUUACAGCAAGUAUGUUGAAAAGACAUUUGAGAGUGCACACAGGGGAAAAACCUUAUAAGUGUGAGAUUUGUUUUAAGCAGUUUUGUAAGAACAGCAGCUUGAAAUCCCAUUUGAUGUUGCAUUCAUAAAUAUUUUCUCUUUAAGUCAUUUGAUGCAGCCUAUGAUUUGAACAGUAUCGGCUGGUCAGGGGAGGCAAGGGAGGCUGAGCCUCCUUAUAAAAUUUUUACACACCCUAAACUGUUUUGUUUAUUUUGAAUCGCGAAAAGCAACAAGCACUCUUACUAUAAAAAGUGGCAAUUCGAUUAUUUCUAAAGACCACUGGUAUCUAGAUAUCUGUCUUCAUUUUGCUGUUGUGGCGAGCAGUCGUUUGUUAGAAGAUCCAUUGUACAAGGCUUUUUGGCUUUCGGCUUUCCGUUAUUUUCCCUAAAUGGUAACAUUACGUUCUCAUAAAACUACUUUUUGAAGUUAUAUUUCUUUAGGCGCGAUUUCAUUGAGGGUGAAAUUUUAUUAAUCUGCGCACACAGGCAGUAUGGAGUUAGUUACUAAAUGUUUUAAUUUAUGUAUGUAUCAGUCCAGAAAAGGUGUGGAAAUAAUAUAUUAGUGUUUUUAAAUAUAUUUUUCUAAAAACGUGUUAAAAAUACAAUUUAUAGCACUCCAUAGGAGCGUUAAAAAUGCUACUUUAAAGCACCAGUGCUUUAAACAUUUUAAGGCACUGCAGUUAAAAGUGAAUUGUCAAAUUGUGAAACGUCAAAAUAUUUAUAUUUCAUUUAUUAACAUUAAUAUUAAUAAUACAAAUUGCGCAAUUUGAAAAAGGUGGUUUAAAAAGUUUUUUAAAAUUUCAUUUAAACUGUAUUAUUGCAUUUUUAACACGUUUGUAGAAAAAAACUAUUAAAAGUUAGAAUAUACAAAAAUAAAAGUACAAGAUGUUAUUCUGAUUUACGUAUUGACAAUAUAGGCAGUUUUGAUGUAAUGUCAAGAAAAAUAUAAAAAUGGAAUGUCAAUCAAGUUCAAGUAAAAGUUUUUGUAGGUAUUGUCCUGUAAUUGAGAAUGAAUAAAUUAUAAUUGUUGAUAUAUAAGACGUUUGUAGAAAGAAUAUUGUAUGAUAUAGGUACGUGUUAAAAAGUAUAUUUUUAAGGCACUUACGUGAAUUUCAGAAUGAGCGAAGCGAAUCUUUCACACGAAACUUUCACAUACGUGCCUUAAAAUUGUACCUUUAACAUUUAUAUCAUAAAUAGGUAACUAUUAUUAUAAUUUUUGUGUAUUUGGACUACUAACUACCUCGGGAAUAAGAUAAUAAGUAAUACUAUUUAAAGUAUUUUAUAAUUCACUUCGUCUGUUUGUCACUAUGUCUGAGAAAUCUUGUAGUCCGGAUAAACAAAAGGGUAUAGCUCAGUGGUAGAGCGUUGGACUGGAGAUCAAGAGGACCCCGGUUCGAAUCCUGGUGUUUUCUAAUCUUUUUUUAAUUUUUGGUAUUGUUUCAAUAAAAAGUUUUGUAAAGUAGUAAGUAAAAAUUAAUUUAAUCUUUAAAUAAAAUACAAAUAAACUGUCCGAAAGUAUAUUUAUUUCAUUGAAAUCAUAUUUAGAAGUAUAACUUCUUACCUGCGUACAAAGUACACACACAUUCUUUUUUUUAAUGCAUCCAAUUUCUGCAUCCUUUUUACCAUAAAUGGUCUAUGGUUAGAUGUUUCCGGAAAUCGAAUGGAUUGCUCUUAUCGUACAUGAAUUUAUGGGUCACGUUCCCUCGAAGUUCGUUUCUACCACGGUGUGGUAAUCGCUGAUGUGGUUAUCAGCCAAUUAAAGUUUUCAGUCGAGACUUUAUCCCGGAUUUUUAUCGCUGCUAGUCAAAGCGCGGUAAAAUAUUCAUAUAUUUUAUUUUUGGGUCUAUUUAACUUUGGAUUAAACAGUACAACACACAAAAAGGAAUGUUAUGCUACUUUUUUAAACCAUCAAAUAAAUCUGACUAUGACUUUUUUAUUUUCAAUUAUUUAGCCGUGUGUACGAGUAUGACAUUCAGCCGUGUUAUGGAUGACCUGUAUCUGAUGGGAUGGAUGUAUCUUUAACGUAAAGUUAUCCUGUAGUUAAGUUAUAAUCCUCGAAUUGGUGUGAUGUAUCAAAUUUAACUUAACUAUGUAUUUGCGUUAUUUCUUGACAGUUCUUGAAUUAUCUGAUAUAUCAAUUGUCACUUUAUAACGCGACAUUAAACCUCAAGUUAUGAGAUAACUUUGUAGUUAUGUAAGGAUAUGUAAGGUUAGGUUCAUCUUUUGAUUUGUUUUUAGACAGAAAUCAAGUGAAUUUAGAAGCUAAUAAUUUAAUAAUGAAGAAUAGAAGGGUAAUUCAAUUUUAAAAAUUAUACAAAAAUCAAAUCGAGAGAUAUAAGUUGAAAUUUUAUUUUAAGUGCCUACUGAGCUUUCUAUCCAGAGUUGCCAGAUGAUAUUUUAUAAAUCCCCCUCUUAGAAACUGAAAUUUCCUCAAAUUGAAUGUAUUUCCCAAAUUUAAAUUUUUGCCGCAUUUUAAUAAAUUAGUAGUCAAAUGAAGAGAACAGUAAACCACAAUUAUUAUACUACUUAUCAACGAGGGAGCUGGAAAUAAUUAAUAGUUCCUAUCGUCUUUGAUUAUAUGGGAGUAUAAUAUACAGUUCUGUGUACAUUCGCAAAUUUAAUUUACCAUGACCCCUUAAAAUCCUCCGUAAUUUUCCGCCCCCAAAAAAUCACACUACAAUUUCUGCUUAGAAAGAUUUCCCUAGACGCUUUCAAAUUACUCCAAAAUUGUGGGAAAAUACACCAAUCUGGCAACCCUGUUUCUAUCUAUCGUUUGAAACACCACCGAACCCGAACAGCUGUUUGCUGUUCGGUCAUCGACGAUGGGUAUUUACUUUUACGGUCCUCUACCCAUCCUGGAGCAUGUUCCGAAAUAUCUCUCGAGCCCACUCCAACUUGUACUAUUUCUACAUAAGGUUCUCUUUGUUACGUCAAACUUUAUUCAUCAAAUGUUAUUUCUAAUAUAACGUUGAAAAAAUAACUAUCUCAUAACUGUGAAGAAUACAUCACACCGAAUUUUACCUAAAUGUUUAUGGGCAUCUUUAUACCUGAGAGUAAUCUUAACUUUAACUCAAACGUUAAAGAUAACUUCGGUCAUCCAUCACACGACUGAUUAUUGUAACAUUGUAAUCUUUCAUUUUUUUGCAAAUUGUAUUAUAAGUGUAAUAAAUAAUUUAUUGACGUU